GUUUUCGGCCCCCUAUUGCAUCGGGACAUCCCGGAGUUUUAGAACUCGCGGAGGCCCAAGUAUCUCGAAACGGGGGCAGAUUCCGAGCAUGGAACUUUGGCAGGUUUUAAAGUCUGUGGGAAGCCAAGCACUUUCUCCAUAGGAGACUGCUACGGGGAAAAAUGGAACCCGUGUCCUCUAAGUUAGGUUACGGAGUUACUCGUUUUAAGAGUUCCUUUUUUUUUGAGACGGAGCCUCGUUCUGUCGCCUGGCUGGAGUACAGUGGCGCGAUCUCCACUCACUGCAAGCUCCCCCCCCCGGGUUCAAGCGAUUCUCCUGCUUUAGUUUCCCGAGUAGCUGGGACUACAGGCGCCCGCCACCACGCCCUGCUAAUUUUUUGUAUUUUUAGUAGAGACAGGGUUUCACCAUGUUGGCCAGGAUGGUUUUGAUCUCUUGACCUAGUGAUCCGCCCGCCUCGGCCUCCCAAAGUGCUGCGAUUACAGACCUGAGCCACUGCACCC
This 500-nucleotide long non-coding RNA is filed under the name Homo sapiens (human). RNAcentral describes it as "non-protein coding lnc-RGS20-5:1". Lineage: Eukaryota; Metazoa; Chordata; Mammalia; Primates; Hominidae. The record is from RNAcentral.